RNAcentral lists this unclassified non-coding RNA (304 nucleotides) under Hevea brasiliensis (rubber tree). The record is from RNAcentral. Lineage: Eukaryota; Viridiplantae; Streptophyta; Magnoliopsida; Malpighiales; Euphorbiaceae.
CCUUCUUCUUCUUCUUCUUUUCUUGCCCACUCCCUUUUCCAUGUUUUCAAUGUGAUGCUCAUGAUUAACAGGACCUAAGUAUAUAAAUUGGAUCAAUGUGAUGUUCAUGAUUAACAUAAUCUAAGUAUAUGAACUGAACAGACUAAAAACAAUAAUACAAUAUGAAGGCCCUGGAAAACUAAGCUACCAAGGACAAUAAUGUGUCCUUCAAAAUUCUAAGCUACAUUCCAUAAAACAUGAAGUCUUAUUUCUCCCUCAGCAGGAAAAAAAAAAAAAGGAAAAAGAAGAAGAAUCGGGAAAGAGG